This 346-nucleotide transfer-messenger RNA is filed under the name Clostridia bacterium. It matches the Rfam family "transfer-messenger RNA". From Rfam's summary of the family: Bacterial tmRNA, also known as 10Sa RNA or SsrA, is named for its dual tRNA and mRNA-like properties. Its role is to liberate the mRNA from a stalled ribosome. The record is from RNAcentral. Lineage: Bacteria; Bacillati; Bacillota; Clostridia. RNAcentral also lists the same sequence under 1 other name.
GGGGAUGUAAAGGUUUCGACAGGGAUACUGAACCGCGAUAAGCAUGCAGCGUUACGGGAACGCUUUGAAAACCGAAUUCUUUAAAAUAACUGACAAUAAUACAGUUGCUUUUGCAGCUUAAUUAAGCUGCCAUCCUGCCCGGAAAUACCGCGGUCCGGGUUUGGGUGUCGAUUAGCGGUGAACGUGAGCGGAUGGGUUCCUCGACUCUGCCACGGAAAGAGGAUACCGAACGUUAAAGCCUGUUUAUCGGCGUUAGCGUAAGGGAAUUUUAAACGAUAAAAUAAGCAUGUAGAAGGUUACGGGAACGUGUUUUUGGACGCGGGUUCGAUUCCCGCCAUCUCCACCA